Molecule: ribosomal RNA, 458 nt
Filed under: uncultured bacterium
Lineage: Bacteria
Description: bacterial SSU rRNA
Rfam family: Bacterial small subunit ribosomal RNA
Source: RNAcentral
CUACGGGAGGCAGCAGUCGAGAAUCUUCCGCAAUGGGCGCAAGCCUGACGGAGCGACGCCGCAUGUGGGAUGAAGGCCUUCGGGUUGUAAACCACUGUCGUAGGGGAGGAAAGGCCGGUGCAGAGCCGGUUUUGACCUAUCCUAGGAGGAAGGGUGGGCUAAGUUCGUGCCAGCAGCCGCGGUAAGACGAACCACCCAAACGUUAUUCGGAAUUACUGGGCUUAAAGGGUGCGUAGGCGGCGCGGAAAGUCAGGUGUGAAAUCCCUCGGCUCAACCGAGGAACUGCGCUUGAAACUGCCGUGCUCGAGUAAGACAGGGGUGAGCGGAACUUCGGGUGGAGCGGUGAAAUGCGUUGAUAUCCGAAGGAACACCGGUGGCGAAAGCGGCUCACUGGGUCUUUACUGACGCUGAUGCACGAAAGCUAGGGGAGCAAACGGGAUUAGAAACCCGUGUAGUCC